CGUACAGGUCAUUUACUGGGUGUCAGGCCCUGCAGGAGUGAUUGAGUGAGUGAGCAGGGACUCCAGGUCCUGUCCGGGUCACCCUGACCUCAAUAGCAAUGAGGGUUUUUUUAGGCAGCCACAAGAUUUCUGGUACGCAGCGCUUGAAAACUCAAGGUUGGGGAAGAAAGCCCUCAGCUCUCAAGGCAAGCAAGAAUCUUGUCUCUAGGUAAAAGGCUAACAGAACAUGUGGUUCCAACAUCUGAGGUUUGUAGACUGCAAAAAUCUCAUCGUGAAGCCAGAGAGAUUGUCACAAAUUCCCAGAGCAUACUUUGGGUAUGUCAGCUCUUGGCCUGUUCAGAGUGGGUAGGAAUGAGGUAAAGCUAAAGAUGAGCGCUAAAUACUGCCUGGCUUCCUGCCGUGUUGGUGUCUGGCCCCCAUCGUCUAGAUGGGGAAACAUAUGAGUUCUUCGUGAGCACAUUUAUCUCGACAUGUUUUAUCUGAUAAACAACGCAGGCCAGCAAAACAGCUCUGACUCCACAGGUAAAGGCGCUUCCUGCCAAACCUGAUGAUGGGAACCCACAGGGCGAAAGGAGAGAACUUUGAGUUACACACACACACACA
Long non-coding RNA from Apodemus sylvaticus (European woodmouse), 603 nucleotides. RefSeq lists it as uncharacterized. The transcript is spliced from 2 exons. The record is from RefSeq and is a predicted model, not a curated record. NCBI's taxonomy places the organism in Eukaryota, Metazoa, Chordata, Mammalia, Rodentia, Muridae.